CGGAGGAUCCAAGCGUUAUCCGGAAUCAGUUGGGUUUAAAGGGUCCGUAGGCGGUUUAGUAAGUCAGUGGUGAAAGCCCAUCGCUCAACGGUGGAACGGCCAUUGAUACUGCUAAACUUGAAUUAUAAGGAAGUAACUAGAAUAUGUAGUGUAGCGGUGAAAUGCUUAGAUAUUACAUGGAAUACCAAUUGCGAAGGCAGGUUACUACUUAUGGAUUGACGCUGAUGGACGAAAGCGUGGGGAGCGAACAGGAUUAGAUACCCUGGUAGUCCACGCCGUAAACGAUGGAUACUAGCUGUUCGGAGCAAUCUGAGUGGCUAAGCGAAAGUGAUAAGUAUCCCACCUGGGGAGUACGUUCGCAAGAAUG
RNAcentral lists this ribosomal RNA (367 nucleotides) under uncultured organism. Its description in RNAcentral is "bacterial SSU rRNA". It matches the Rfam family "Bacterial small subunit ribosomal RNA", at positions 526 to 896 of the family's 1533-position model. The record is from RNAcentral.